CCGGUCGCUUCCCUCCCGCGCCGGGCCCGCUGCUCCGGGGGACGGCGGAGGACAGCGGGCUGCGGGGCGGCCGGACGGGGCAGGCCGAGUCCUCGCGUGCCGCGCGCGUCCCCGCGGACUCGAGCCGCCAUCCGGCCGCGAGGUCUGGGCGCCUCGGCCCGAGGACGCUGGUUUCGAGCGGGGCCGAAGUAAACAAAGCUCGCCUCCAUUUUUUCUGAUAAUGCAGAAAAUCGAAUGUAGACAAGCGAGGCUUUCUGAGGCCGUCCGGUCUCGGGGCAUUUAGGAAUGUGCAGGUGUAUAUUAGCUUAAAAGUAUUAUAUUAAUAAUAAAGGUUGACUUUGCAUAUGAAGAUUCGGGGAAUAGACCACGGACCACAAAGUUAAGAAUGAUAGCAUAUAUUCUACUAGAAAAAAUAAACAACAAAAGCCUUCUCACCAUAUGCAGACAAAUUCCCGGACUGGAGGGAGGGAGAAUUCAGAGAGAAAAGGACAGACCAACCCUGCAGCCCACUUCCUCAUUAGAAUACUAGAACCGUCGGAUUUCGGCCCACACACUGACCGGGCUUCCCUGUGGGGUAAGGAGUCCUUUUUCUAGCCCUGAACUGAAUGCUAUUAGUUCUUCCACUGCUCACUCACUAUAGUUCUUCUGUAGUAUUCUGAUUCUGUUGAGAGAAUCCAAAAUUGGCAAAUGCUUUGAUUUACAAACACAAAGGGUAAACAUUUUCUAACGCUUCAGUCAUUUUCCAUAAUAUUCCAAAGCAUGCAACUUUAUUCUACACGUUUUGACGGCUUCACGGGUUAACGGAUCUCCUGACUGAACGAUGGAAUUAUUAAGCCUUGCGUAAAUAGUAGAAGCUCCUCUUCAGAGGUGUUAGAUAAAGUAGAAGUUUGGCAACAGUCUGGUGAAGUGGGGCUCUAUAGACCACCGGCCUGGAAAAUCCAGUUCUCAAUUCAGUUUCUCCUUGGUCCUGUCCUAGGCUGGUCAAUAGAAGCUGAAGCAGGCUGAGGAUUGAAGCAACUUGGAUUAUGAUGGCUGUAAGAUUUACCUUUUGAAGUGUAAGUAUACUUAACGUGAUCUGAUAUCUGUGCUUGUUCCUGGAAGGUUGUGUGGGAGUUCCAUUUUGGUCACUGCAUAAUUUUCUCAUUUCCUUACGCUAUAAAUUUUAGAAUGCUUUACCUUGGUGCCUAAUUACCUUUAAAAGGUAGUUAUUUCCAACAUUUCUCUUUCUGUUUUUCUGCUCAUAGGCUUCUGAUAAGUAGCCGGUACCCUCUUAAUGAAUGCAUCCAUUGGAAGCUGCAUUGGUAAUAAGACAAUGCUUUUUAUAAGGCUUUAAUUUAUUUCUUUCAAACAAAAUUUCUCAUGUCGGAGUUUCUUUAAGUAGAGCACAUAUGCUGAUUAGCCUGGGCAAAUCUGACUGCUGUACAGGCACUAGGACGUGCUGACUUUGGGGUUGUCCUCUGUCUGGUUAUUUAUUGCUGUGUAACCAACCGUCCCAAAACUCAGUGGCUUGAAACAAACAAUAUCUUUUUCUCUCACAUGGUUCCGUGGCUUGGCUGGGUUCGACUGUGUGAUUCUCCCUUGUGGUCCCUCAUGCGGCUUGCCAUCAGAUGCUGGCUGGGGCUGGAGUCACUUGAAGGCACUUGGCUGGUCGUCCAAGAAGGCUUCUCUGGUCACAUGUCGUGUGUAGGGUGGGACGACUGCAGAGCCGGGGACUGGCUGGGUGCCUCUCUCUCCCCAAAGCGUCUCUCCAUGGCGAGGGUGGGACUCCUCACAACAUAACCAUCUCAGGGUGGUAGACCUUCUUUCUGGCAGUGGCUGCCCCGAGAGCAUGCCAUCCAACGAGUAUGGCAGAUAGUGCGAGGUUCCUCUGACCUGGCCUUGGAACUCAGUGCCACUGAGGCUGCACUCUGUUGUUUACGCGGAAGUCACAGGGCCAAACCAGAUUCAAGGGGACAGGCCUAUACACAGGCACGGACGUCAGGAGUUGCAGCCCAUCAGAGAUCCAUCUUUGGAGUUUAGCUACUGUGUUUAAUGUAUCUCAAAGUUAUAAAGUGGGUUAGAGUUAAAGCUACCUAUUUUGGUUGUAUUCCUGGGAACACUUUAAUGAUAAUAAUAAUAAUAAUAUCUGCCAUUCAUGGAGCAAUUAACUGCACUAUCACCUACUGGAGACAGAGUUGGGCAAAAACAAAUAAAAAAUUCCUGCUCUCACAGAACUAGCGGGGGAGAAAGGCAAUAAAGUAAAUAAGAAAAUAUGUAGGAUAUCAGACGGUGCUAAACUCUACGGAGAAAACGUAAGCAGGAAGAGGAUUAGGAAAUGUGUGUGUGGAAGCAAUGCUAAGCAGGCUCUUAGAGAAGGCUGCCCUGAUGAGGGCACACUGAAGCAGAGAUCUGAAGGAGGUGAGGGCCCUUGUGGGGGAAGAGCUUUCUAGUCAGGGGGCCCUUUGGCUGGGGCUCAGUCGGGGGUUUAGGAGACAGGGUCAGGGUGGAGGGAGGGGUGUGAGGAGCUGUGAGGGUCACAUAGGCCUUUUACUUACAUGAGGCUUUUACUCUGAGUGUGAAUGGAAGGCCCUGGUGUGGUACUCUCUGCUGGAAGGGAGCGCGGGUCCAGCGGGAGACAGUCAGGGGGCUACCGCGCAACCCAGGCAAUGGGGGCCUGGACCUGGGCGUUGGCUGCAGGAGUGCUAGGUAGUGAGAUAUCAUAUUAUAGGUACAUUUGGAAGGUAGGACCAACAAGAUUUGAUUACAGAUUGGACCUGGAAACAGAGACAACUCUUCUGAGAAGUUUUGCUGUGAAUGGGGGGAGUGGAGAACCGAGGCGCAGGCUGGGAGGGACAUGUGUUUUCCUCGGUUUUGUUUUUGGUUUUGGUUAUUGUUUUUGUUUGUUUGUUUAAGAUGUGAAGAAUGUUUGUGCAUUGGUGGGAAUGACUGGUCCAACAGAAAGGGAACAGUUGGUGAUGCAGGAGAGAGAGGGGCUGAUUGCUGGUGUGACGUCCUUGAACAAGGAGCAGGGUGGGAUCAGGGUGCCAACGACGGGUUGGCCUCAGGGAGGUGCACCGGCAGCUCGCCCAGAGUAACGGCGGGAAGGACCAGGUUUAUGGGUAGCUGGGUGGGUGUGGGGUGGCCUUUACGGAAGUCCUCUUUUGAUGCCUCCAUCAGAUCCACAGAGGAGGACCUGGGGGUCUGGGAGGGAGACAAUUUGCAAAACAGCCAUCAAAAUGAGGGAAGAGUGAACUCACAGGACA
This is a long non-coding RNA of Physeter macrocephalus (sperm whale), 3242 nucleotides long. RefSeq lists it as uncharacterized. Lineage: Eukaryota; Metazoa; Chordata; Mammalia; Artiodactyla; Physeteridae. The transcript is spliced from 3 exons. The record is from RefSeq and is a predicted model, not a curated record.